Molecule: ribosomal RNA, 521 nt
Filed under: uncultured bacterium
Lineage: Bacteria
Description: partial 16S ribosomal RNA
Rfam family: Bacterial small subunit ribosomal RNA
Source: RNAcentral
UGGGGAAUUUUGGACAAUGGGCGAAAGCCUGAUCCAGCAAUGCCGCGUGUGUGAAGAAGGCCUUCGGGUUGUAAAGCACUUUUGUCCGGAAAGAAAUCCUUGGCUCUAAUACAGUCGGGGGAUGACGGUACCGGAAGAAUAAGCACCGGCUAACUACGUGCCAGCAGCCGCGGUAAUACGUAGGGUGCAAGCGUUAAUCGGAAUUACUGGGCGUAAAGCGUGCGCAGGCGGUUUGCUAAGACCGAUGUGAAAUCCCCGGGCUCAACCUGGGAACUGCAUUGGUGACUGGCAGGCUAGAGUAUGGCAGAGGGGGGUAGAAUUCCACGUGUAGCAGUGAAAUGCGUAGAGAUGUGGAGGAAUACCGAUGGCGAAGGCAGCCCCUGGGCCAAUACUGACGCUCAUGCACGAAAGCGUGGGGAGCAAAACAGGAUUAGAUACCCUGGUAGUCCACGCCCUAAACGAUGUCAACUAGUUGUUGGGAUUCAUUUCCUUAGUAACGUAGCUAACGCGUGAAGUUGACC